This 67-nucleotide transfer RNA is filed under the name Pleoticus muelleri. RNAcentral describes it as "tRNA-His". It matches the Rfam family "tRNA". Rfam says of the family: Transfer RNA (tRNA) molecules are approximately 80 nucleotides in length. Lineage: Eukaryota; Metazoa; Arthropoda; Malacostraca; Decapoda; Solenoceridae. The record is from RNAcentral.
GUUUGAGUAGUUUAAUAAAAACGUUGGUUUGUGGUACCAGAAAUAUGAUGAAAAUUCAUUUUAAAUC